ACUGGAUUCGCCCUCGUCGCCGCCCGCCGCGGCUCAUAACAACCUCAAAUCGCCGCUCCGCCGUCACCGACUCUGCCGGCGUCGCUCUCCAGCUCCGGCGUCGCUUCUCGCCGGGAAUCGAGGAGAAAUCGGAAUCGCCGACCACUGGAGUUCACCGCCGGUCGGAUAUCGUCCAGCUUCUCCUCCCCCUCUCCAUGCCGAUCGAUCCUUGCUUCCUCGCCGGUGCAAUGCUGUUGUAGAAGAUCAUCGAAGCUCGAGGUUGGUUUAGAAGGUGAGAUGUGAUGGAACUUGGCUGGCUGCUUCUCUGAUCAGGUCUGUUCUUCCCAGGAAGUCGGAACAAUACUGGAAGAACAUUUGUUAUAGGAUAUAUAAUACCACACUGGAAAAUGGGUGCUUGUGUAUCAACAUCAAGCAGAAGGCCUAGGCCUAGAUCAUGGAAGCACACUCUCAGAACCCGAAAAGG
This 463-nucleotide unclassified non-coding RNA is filed under the name Hevea brasiliensis (rubber tree). Lineage: Eukaryota; Viridiplantae; Streptophyta; Magnoliopsida; Malpighiales; Euphorbiaceae. The record is from RNAcentral.